RNAcentral lists this ribosomal RNA (253 nucleotides) under uncultured bacterium. Its description in RNAcentral is "partial 16S ribosomal RNA". It matches the Rfam family "Bacterial small subunit ribosomal RNA", at positions 524 to 776 of the family's 1533-position model. The record is from RNAcentral.
UACGAAGGGGGCUAGCGUUGCUCGGAAUCACUGGGCGUAAAGGGCGCGUAGGCGGCCAUUUAAGUCGGGGGUGAAAGCCUGUGGCUCAACCACAGAAUUGCCUUCGAUACUGGAUGGCUUGAGUUCGGUAGAGGUUGGUGGAACUGCGAGUGUAGAGGUGAAAUUCGUAGAUAUUCGCAAGAACACCAGUGGCGAAGGCGGCUCACUGGCCCGGUACUGACGCUGAGGUGCGAAAGCGUGGGGAGCAAACAGG